This is a long non-coding RNA of Bombyx mori (domestic silkworm), 2544 nucleotides long. RefSeq lists it as uncharacterized. NCBI's taxonomy places the organism in Eukaryota, Metazoa, Arthropoda, Insecta, Lepidoptera, Bombycidae. The transcript has 3 exons. The record is from RefSeq and is a predicted model, not a curated record.
ACGGCUGCCCCAUCCUUCAAACCGAAACGCAUUACUGCUUCACGUCAGAAAUUUAAAAAUGCGGGAAGAAAGUUUAGGAAAGAAAGGGUUAGGUCUUAUUUGGGUUAGAUCGACUAGAAACUGAUAUUUACACACGAGCGAAAUGAAUUUUCAAUGUCACCCACAAAGGUCUUGUACUGUCUACAGCGAAACGAUAAAAAAAGCAAAGGUCAUUUUUGUGAAUUUGCGAAAACUGAUAAGAAUUCAUUUACAAUUAUCUCCUUAACAGACGGCAUGUUUUCGGCCGAACUAUUUAAGUUAUUUGAAUAAAUAAAUUCUGAUGAAAAAUGAAUACCAAAGACUGAAUUCUCUCACUACUGAACUAAACAUAGGAAGAUAUAAAGGAUAAUUGAAGACAUGCGUGGAUUAGGUUUUUUGAAGUGAAAACUUCUUUAGAAUCGUUGUGAUUUCAAACCGGAUGCAACGGAAAAAACGACAGUUUCAACAGGACAGGUGGGCGAGCAAAGGCUCAGCCAGGAGAGGUGGGGUUUGCUAACAGCUGCCCGAGCGCCUCCGAAGGGGACCUAACAACUCAAGAGCGAUUGCUUCGCGAAUGAAUCUACUACCGGAUCGGAAUCGCGACCCGCUGAGAAGAUCCGGCGAGAAACUCAGCGGGCCGAUGCAUGGCGUCACACCAGUGGUACUUGGGCCUCCCUACGGGGCGGCGUCCCUCCGGUACACCCGUGUACACCCGUUUCACAGCCCGAUCCUUCUCCAUACGUACUACAAGUCCGAGCCAUCCGAGCCUCCGUGUCUUCAUCUCCCCUUCAGGUUACCAGGUUAUGUAAAAAAAAAUUGGCUCUUUGCGGAGCAGAACAGAAGUUGGUAGUACAAAUUUUCGGUAUCACAUUAGCGUCAAGCAAAAAGACAAUACAGUCAAACCUGGAGCACAAUCUCAUCCUCGCUUAAGAGGUUUCUCACUAACCCGAGUUUCUCGCUAAUGCACGCUCUGAAUUUCAUUUCGCGAUUUUCCGGAUUCAAACGCAUUCCGUGUUUUAAAUUUAUCACUUAAUGACGGUACUUUAAUUUUCCGUUUUGACCUGAUGCAGAACAGAACUUUCCUUCGGAAUUGAUUAACGAUAAACUGAGUGAGUCCAACAAACAGGACGGUACACAGGCACACGUGUCCAUUCGAAAAGAAUGCGAUAAAAUAACAACGUUAUUUAGUUCCACGAAAUAGAAUAGGUUCAAUAUUGACGAGAAAACAAUACAAAAACAAUAUUAGGAAGUUCCACGAGAGUUAAGAAUGAGUCAUAAAACAGCAGAUGUUAAAUUUGUAAUUUGUUUUGUCAUUUGUUCCUCCUAAAUAAUAUAAAUAAAUAAAGCUCGACUGUCGCUUAUAGAGGUAUAGAUAAGUAGCAGUCUCACUUACGGAGGGGUCCAUGAGGGAAAAACGACUCUCUUACCAAGGUUUCUGUUUCUCGCUAAUAGAGGUUUUGGGAGCUUAAAUGACGGGUUCUGGCUCUUACUCUUUUUUUAUUAUUUUUUUAUUGCUUAGAUGGGUGGACGAGCUCACAGCCCACCUGGUGUUAAGUGGUUACUGGAGCCCAUAGACAUCUAUAACGUAAAUGCGCCACCCACCUAUCUCACUUAUAGAGUUUUCUCACUUAUUCAGUUCUCACUUACCCAGGUUUGACUGUACACCAAAAAAAUUGUGGCGUGCAGCGAUAAUUCAUAACAUGAAAAAAAAGGUAUACGCGUGAAGUUCGCGUCGCAUUAGUCAAAAUAUAAUAACAUCGUUACAUCACAGAGGAAAGUUGGAACGUCGCUGCGGUCAAUGUCGGAUGUCGAGUAGUGAUUGACUUCACAAUAUAUUAUAAAGAGCGUAUGGUUUCCAUCGAUAAAUUACUAUCACCUGAUAUUUUUAUCGAGGGCAAAAGAUCUCGCGGACUAUCUCCAACACGAUGGGCCGACCUCAUAAAAUCUGUUACUCACUCCAACAUAAAUGUUUGCUCUCACUCUGCGAAACAUCGUGCCACAUGGCGUCGCAUCGCGAGAGCAUCGGUGUCGCAGAAUCCGACUGAUGCCUGACCACGACCACUCUGUCAAGAGUGUACGAAUAGGAAGAAGAAGAUAUUUUUAUUGCACCGAUAGACGUAAGCACGAAUUCAGCCAAUCUAAAUAAGCAUCUAAAUAAAACAUUUUACGAGCUCCCCUCCACGGUGUUUCCCGAGCGCUAUGACAUGUCCUUCUUUAAAAGAGGCUUGUGGAGAGUAUUAAGCGGUAGGCAGCGUCUUGGCUCUGCCCCUGGCAUUGCUGAAGUCCAUGGGCGACGGUAACCACUCACCAUCAGGUGGCCCGUUUGCUCGUCUGCUUACAAGGGCAAUAAAAAAAAACAAAUUCAAAAUCUGAGAGAUAAGGAAAUUAGAUGCUAGAUUGGGAGGGCAAUUUCGAAAAGUGACCAUUUCGCGGAAAAGAGAUAGAGCAUAACUUAGAAAUGCACAUAUUUCAGAACUAAUAAUAAAUAAUAAUAAUAAAUAAUAAAUAAAUAAAUAUUUAUUAACA